ACAGGAUUAGAUACCCUGGUAGUCCACGCUGUAAACGAUGAUCACUCGUUGUUGGCGAUACACCGUCAGCGACUGAGCGAAAGCAAUAAGUGAUCCACCUGGGGAGUACGGCGGCAACGCUGAAACUCAAAGGAAUUGACGGGGGCCCGCACAAGCGGAGGAACAUGUGGUUUAAUUCGAUGAUACGCGAGGAACCUUACCUGGGCUUGAAAGGGGAAUGACCUCCCGGGAAACCGGGAUUCUCUUCGGAGCGUUCUCCUAGGUGCUGCAUGGUUGUCGUCAGCUCGUGCCGUGAGGUGUCGGGUUAAGUCCCAUAACGAGCGCAACCCCUAUUGUUAGUUGCCAGCGGGUAAUGCCGGGAACUCUAACGAAACUGCCGGUGUAAACCGAGAGGAAGGUGGGGAUGACGUCAAAUCAGCACGGCCCUUAUGUCCAGGGCUACACACGUGUUACAAUGGCCGGCACAAAGGGCAGCUACUAGGUGACUAGAUGCUAAUCUCUAAAACCGGUCUCAGUUCGGAUCGAAGUCUGCAACUCGACUUCGUGAAGCUGGAUUCGCUAGUAAUCGCGCAUCAGCAACGGCGCGGUGAAUACGUUCCCGGGCCUUGUACACACCGCCCGUCAAGCCAUGGAAGCUGGGAGUACCUGAAGUCUGUAACCGAAAGGAGCGGCCUAGGGUAAAACCAGUGACUGGGGCUAAGUCGUAACAAGGUAAC
RNAcentral lists this ribosomal RNA (716 nucleotides) under uncultured bacterium. RNAcentral's name for it is "bacterial SSU rRNA". It matches the Rfam family "Bacterial small subunit ribosomal RNA", at positions 772 to 1500 of the family's 1533-position model. The record is from RNAcentral.